UACACUCCUGCGGGAGGCAGCAGUGGGGAAUAUUGCACAAUGGGCGCAAGCCUGAUGCAGCCAUGCCGCGUGUAUGAAGAAGGCCUUCGGGUUGUAAAGUACUUUCAGCGGGGAGGAAGGCGAUAAGGUUAAUAACCUUGUCGAUUGACGUUACCCGCAGAAGAAGCACCGGCUAACUCCGUGCCAGCAGCCGCGGUAAUACGGAGGGUGCAAGCGUUAAUCGGAAUUACUGGGCGUAAAGCGCACGCAGGCGGUCUGUCAAGUCGGAUGUGAAAUCCCCGGGCUCAACCUGGGAACUGCAUUCGAAACUGGCAGGCUAGAGUCUUGUAGAGGGGGGUAGAAUUCCAGGUGUAGCGGUGAAAUGCGUAGAGAUCUGGAGGAAUACCGGUGGCGAAGGCGGCCCCCUGGACAAAGACUGACGCUCAGGUGCGAAAGCGUGGGGAGCAAACAGGAUUAGAAACCCUAGUAGUCC
This 472-nucleotide ribosomal RNA is filed under the name uncultured organism. Its description in RNAcentral is "partial 16S ribosomal RNA". It matches the Rfam family "Bacterial small subunit ribosomal RNA", at positions 332 to 796 of the family's 1533-position model. The record is from RNAcentral.